Molecule: ribosomal RNA, 421 nt
Filed under: uncultured bacterium
Lineage: Bacteria
Description: partial 16S ribosomal RNA
Rfam family: Bacterial small subunit ribosomal RNA
Source: RNAcentral
AUUUUGGACAAUGGGGGCAACCCGGAUCCAUCCAUCCCGCGUGUGCGAUGAAGGCCUUCGGGUUGUAAAGCACUUUUGGCAGGGAAGAAAAGGCGCGGGCUAAUACCCGGCGCCGCUGACGGUACCUGAAUCAUAAGCACCGGCUAAUUACCUGCCACCAGCCGCGGUAAUUCGUAGUGUGAAAGCGUUUAUCGGAAUUACUGGGCGUAAAGCUUGCGCAGGCGGUUAGGCAAGAAGGAUGUGAAAUCCCGGGGCUUAACCUCGGAACUGCAUUCUUAACUGCCAGGCUAGAGUAUGUCAGAGGGGGGUAGAAUUCCACGUGUAGCAGUGAAAUGCGUAGAGAUGUGGAGGAAUACCGAUGGCGAAGGCAGCCCCCUGGGAUGAUACUGACGCUCAUGCACGAAAGCGUGGGGAGCAAACA